UCCUUCGUCUAGUGGUUAGGACUCUUGGUUUUCAUCCAAGCAAUCGUGGGUUCGAUUCCCACAGGAGUCA
RNAcentral lists this transfer RNA (70 nucleotides) under Candidatus Shapirobacteria bacterium CG_4_8_14_3_um_filter_35_11. RNAcentral describes it as "tRNA-Glu". It matches the Rfam family "tRNA". Rfam says of the family: Transfer RNA (tRNA) molecules are approximately 80 nucleotides in length. Their secondary structure includes four short double-helical elements and three loops (D, anti-codon, and T loops). Lineage: Bacteria; Candidatus Shapironibacteriota. The record is from RNAcentral.